CCAGACUCCUACGGGAGGCAGCAGUGGGGAAUAUUGCACAAUGGGGGAAACCCUGAUGCAGCGACGCCGCGUGAAGGAUGAAGUAUUUCGGUAUGUAAACUUCUAUCAGCAGGGAAGAAAAUGACGGUACCUGACUAAGAAGCCCCGGCUAACUACGUGCCAGCAGCCGCGGUAAUACGUAGGGGGCAAGCGUUAUCCGGAUUUACUGGGUGUAAAGGGAGCGUAGACGGCAUGGCAAGUCUGAUGUGAAAACCCGGGGCUCAACCCCGGGACUGCAUUGGAAACUGUCAGGCUAGAGUGUCGGAGAGGCAAGUGGAAUUCCUAGUGUAGCGGUGAAAUGCGUAGAUAUUAGGAGGAACACCAGUGGCGAAGGCGGCUUGCUGGACGAUGACUGACGUUGAGGCUCGAAAGCGUGGGGAGCAAACAGGAUUAGAUACCCGUGUA
RNAcentral lists this ribosomal RNA (444 nucleotides) under uncultured bacterium. Its description in RNAcentral is "bacterial SSU rRNA". It matches the Rfam family "Bacterial small subunit ribosomal RNA", at positions 331 to 792 of the family's 1533-position model. The record is from RNAcentral.